RNAcentral lists this ribosomal RNA (253 nucleotides) under uncultured prokaryote. RNAcentral's name for it is "partial 16S ribosomal RNA". It matches the Rfam family "Bacterial small subunit ribosomal RNA", at positions 524 to 776 of the family's 1533-position model. The record is from RNAcentral.
UACGGAGGUGGCAAGCGUUGCUCGGAAUCACUGGGCGUAAAGGGCGCGUAGGCGGGGAGGUAAGUCGGGUGUGAAAUCCCUCGGCCCAACCGAGGAACUGCGCCCGAGACUGCUUCUCUUGAGUCCCGGAGAGGAAGAUGGAAUUCCCGGUGUAGCGGUGAAAUGUGUAGAUAUCAGGAGGAACAUCGGUGGCGAAGGCGGCCAUCUGGCUCAUUUCUGACGCUGAGACGCAAAAGCGUGGGGAGCAAACAGG